CUUUAACAAUAGUGAUUUUUGUUAUACUGCUGUAUGGGACCUGCUGAGUCACAGCCUGAAACACUGAUUGAGCACCUGGGGAAAGGACUCGGUCAGCCCUGGGAGCACAGGUGGAGGCAAUUCAGCUUUGUGACCAGAAGGGGUGCAGCCUGGCUGCACCUCUCUUAGACCCCAUUUAAAGGCUGACUGCCACUAGAGAAGGGUUUCUUUCUGGAGGUCCCUCCUUGGUGAAGUUUUCCCUUUGAACCUGGAAUCUUAUGAUAUGGGGGGAAGAGCUGUGUUUUUCUUUUGCGGUCUUUUAUGAACUACUGCUCUUCAGGGACAGAGACCACUUGUGCAAGAGGGAGAGCAAUUGCUUAUUGAUGUAAUUGUUGCAAAUGAAGACAGUAUAAAGGGGAGGUAACUGACAGCAUCUUUCUGAAAGAUAUGCAGAGACUCUCCGGCUUCAUUGGGAUUGUUUGUACAUGUUGCCAGAUACUUGUCCUAAGUGGUGUUUGUUUCCUUUCCAUAAAGAAGACACCAGCUCUGGUCGCUGAUAAAACAAAGCUUGGCAAAGUCCCAAGCACAAUAUCUUGUUCUGGGAAUGCACUCAACUUGAUCUUCUCAUUUACCUCACAGGCAUUCAUUCUUCAAAAGCCAAGGGCGUACAUCUUUGGGAGAUGAAGCUGCAAAAGAAUUUUGAAUAGAUUGAACCUGGGGAUGCUUCUGGCUCAGUUAGUAUUAAUGGCAAGUUGGCUUUGGAAAAUGACAAACUCCGCAGUCUGGUGCUGGAAGAAUUAGAAGGGCUUGAAACGUGGGAAAAUAAUGGAGAAACAGCUUUGAAGUGGUUAUUCAUCUCCUUCAAAUACACCCACCGGACAACUGGGACAGAUACAAGCCGCAAAGGGAGGUACCUCCCAUGGUCAGCCCUGCAGAAGUUAGAAAGGAGUGGGGAGAAGAAAUGGUGGAGCUGGCAACAUCUUUGUGAUCUCUCAAGUGGAUCCACAGCCCAGGUGGAGCAUCCUGUUCUACUAAAGGUUGUAGAAACAUUUCUAUCCCACCUCUUUGUCUUUGGGCUGAGUCCAGAAAACUUCAGUGACAUCUGGGAAAAAAGUGAUGAAACUGUACCUGAACAACGACAUUAAAACGUAGCUUGCUGGCAGCAUGGGCUGUGUUAUGUGAGGUCUGCCUGUUCCUGCUUUACCCAGAGAGCACCAGCAGCAAGCUGGACAUGUCCUCAAACGGCUGCAGAAGUCAGGUUGUGAGAGCUGCACCGUGGCAGGUGAACUGCAACAUCUUAGCAGUUUGCAGAUGAUGUCUCUCUUGACUUCAGAGAUGUUGCUCACCUUUCACAGCCGAAGAUAAAGCCUCAUAAUGCAGCAGAGCCAGAGCCUGAGCACAGAACGCUGAACAGAGAUCUAAAUGUUGACCUCAAUAGUACAUGCCUGAAGUUGAGUGCUUCCUGAAUCCUGUUACUGUCUGGUUCGUUCCUGUAGCUCUUGUGGAGCAUGUUGUGACAACCUGAAUAUUUUUCCAUCUUUAUCAAGCUGCUUGUGGAAAGGGUGCAUUGAAGGAGCUCUGACGACAGUCUCUGAUUUGUGCUCAGCAGUUACUAACUGUUGUUACUGCCACCCCCAAAUACUACUUUGCUGCUAACUCCUCUGAUCUCCUCUGGAUGUUAGAAACUAAAUGCUGAAGCGUGUUUGAAUAGUAUCUGUAGUGAUGGAACUGAUCCUGUUGGGUACUAAAGGCCUCCAGCUUUUGCUGGCCUCUAUGAGAUUUAGGGUCUCAGCCUUUGUUAGCCUUGGGCCCUUAGAAAAAAUUUCUUUUUCUUUCCAUUACAUUGUGAUAGGGAUGUAGAUUUCCUUAGGGACUUUCUUUGUUGGGUUUUGUUGGGCAGUUUGGUUUUUUUUUUACUAUUUCUUUGUGGGUUUUUUUUUGUCCCUUCUCUUUCCAUUGAACUGGGUUGAGAACAUAUUGAGACUUCCGUCAUCACAAGGACUGUUCCCUCAUUCCCUGCCCUGUGGUCAAAUGUAAUGUCACAUUGGCCAACUGAUUGUAAGAAUGUCCUUUACUAAAAGCAAGUAAGCAAGCAUGAUAUGUCCUACAGCAUCCUGUAAUUUAGAAGGUAUGUAAAUGACAACAUAUAUAUUUGUUAAGUAGAAAGUUGAUAGCAGAGUCAAGAAGAAAACAGUCACACCCAAUAGGAUAUGUGUGUGUGAUUAGUGUGGUCAAUAUGUAUAUACCACUGAAAGAAAAUACACCUGUGCAUACUAUUGCCAAGCUCCUAACAGUGUUCCUUAUUCCUCAACUUUUCUACAUGCACAGCGUUGUUCUUCUUUCCUAGAUGUUAAUCUCACUGAAGCAAAGGCCAAAUUAUCAACAGAAAAUCUCAGUGUAUGGAAGACUUGAUUGAGAGGGGCAGGUAAGUAUAGAUUUUUUAACUUUUUUUCCCCUUUUACUUCUGAAUAAAAUAAAUAAGUACCAAAAUCCUUAUCUCCC
Molecule: long non-coding RNA, 2481 nt
Filed under: Gallus gallus (chicken)
Lineage: Eukaryota; Metazoa; Chordata; Aves; Galliformes; Phasianidae
Source: RNAcentral